Molecule: ribosomal RNA, 253 nt
Filed under: uncultured bacterium
Lineage: Bacteria
Description: partial 16S ribosomal RNA
Rfam family: Bacterial small subunit ribosomal RNA
Source: RNAcentral
UACGAAGGGAGCUAGCGUUGUUCGGAAUCACUGGGCGUAAAGCGUAAGUAGGCGGAAAAGUAAGUUAGGUGUGAAAUCCUUGUUUUCAAGACAAGAACUGCACUUAAAACUGCUUAUCUAGAGUACAGAAGGGGAUGAUGAAAUUCCAAGUGUAGCAGUAAAAUGCGUAGAUAUUUGGAGGAACACCAGAAGCGAAGGCGUUCAUCUGGUCUGAUACUGACGCUGAGGUGCGAAAGUGUGGGGAGCAAACAGG